Molecule: ribosomal RNA, 1124 nt
Filed under: uncultured eukaryote
Lineage: Eukaryota
Description: bacterial SSU rRNA
Rfam family: Eukaryotic small subunit ribosomal RNA
Source: RNAcentral
GUGAUCCGCUCCCAUCCAAGGAGGCAGCAGGCGCGCAAAUUACCCACUCUCAGCACGAGGAGGUAGUGACGAAAAAUAACGAGACAGUCCUCUAUGAGGUCUGUCAUCGGAAUGGGUACAAUUUAAACCCUUUAACGAGGAUCAAUUGGAGGGCAAGUCUGGUGCCAGCAGCCGCGGUAAUUCCAGCUCCAAUAGCGUAUAUUAAAGUUGUUGCGGUUAAAAAGCUCGUAGUUGGAUCUGCGGUCAUUGACGACGGUCGCCCACUGGGUUGUACUGAUCUGUCAUGACCUACCUUACUGGUUUCCUCUUGGUGCUCUUUACUGAGUGCCUUGAGCGACUAGUACGUUUACUUUGAAAAAAUUAGAGUGCUCAACGCAGGCAUUUGCCUGAAUAGUGGUGCAUGGAAUAAUGGAAUAGGACCUCGGUUCUAUUUUGUUGGUUUUCGGAGCGCGAGGUAAUGAUUAAGAGGGACAGACGGGGGCAUUCGUACUGCUACGUUAGAGGUGAAAUUCUUGGAUCGUAGCAUGACGAACAACUGCGAAAGCAUUUGCCAAGAAUGUUUUCAUUAAUCAAGAACGAUAGUUAGAGGUUCGAAGGCGAUCAGAUACCGCCCUAGUUCUAACCGUAAACGAUGCCAACUAGCAAUCCGCUGGCGUUAAAAAUGACCCAGCGGGCGGCUGCCCGGAAACGAUUAAGUGUUUCGGUUCCGGGGGAAGUAUGGUUGCAAAGUUGAAACUUAAAGGAAUUGACGGAAGGGCACCACCAGGAGUGGAGCCUGCGGCUUAAUUUGACUCACACGGGAAACUCACCCGGCCCGGACACUGUAAGGAUUGACAGAUUGAAAGCUCUUUCACGAUUCAGUGGUGGUGUGCAUGGCCCGUUCUUAGUUGUGAAGCGAUUUUGUCUGGUUAAUUCCGAUAACGAACGAAGACUCUAGCCUACUAAAAUAGUGUGUUGAUCUUUACGUCAACACUACUUCUUAAGAGGGACAAAACGACAUCUAGUCGUACGAAAUUGAGCAAUAACAGGUCUUGUGAUGCCAUAGAAUGUCGGGGCUGCACGGCGCGCUAAACUGAUAGCAUCAACGUGCUUCUCAACCUUUUUCUGAAAAGAAUGGCUAAACA